CAGGCUUAACACAUGCAAGUCGAGGGGCAGCAUUUUAGUUUGCUUGCAAACUGAAGAUGGCGACCGGCGCACGGGUGAGUAACACGUAUCCAACCUGCCGAUAACUCCGGAAUAGCCUUUCGAAAGAAAGAUUAAUACCGGAUAGCAUACGAAUAUCGCAUGAUAUUUUUAUUAAAGAAUUUCGGUUAUCGAUGGGGAUGCGUUCCAUUAGUUUGUUGGCGGGGUAACGGCCCACCAAGACUACGAUGGAUAGGGGUUCUGAGAGGAAGGUCCCCCACAUUGGAACUGAGACACGGUCCAAACUCCUACGGGAGGCAGCAGUGAGGAAUAUUGGUCAAUGGGCGAGAGCCUGAACCAGCCAAGUAGCGUGAAGGAUGAAGGCUCUAUGGGUCGUAAACUUCUUUUAUAUGGGAAUAAAGUUUUCCACGUGUGGAAUUUUGUAUGUACCAUAUGAAUAAGGAUCGGCUAACUCCGUGCCAGCAGCCGCGGUAAUACGGAGGAUCCGAGCGUUAUCCGGAUUUAUUGGGUUUAAAGGGAGCGUAGGUGGAUUGUUAAGUCAGUUGUGAAAGUUUGCGGCUCAACCGUAAAAUUGCAGUUGAAACUGGCAGUCUUGAGUACAGUAGAGGUGGGCGGAAUUCGUGGUGUAGCGGUGAAAUGCUUAGAUAUCACGAAGAACUCCGAUUGCGAAGGCAGCUCACUAGACUGUCACUGACACUGAUGCUCGAAAGUGUGGGUAUCAAACAGGAUUAGAUACCCUGGUAGUCCACACAGUAAACGAUGAAUACUCGCUGUUUGCGAUAUACAGUAAGCGGCCAAGCGAAAGCAUUAAGUAUUCCACCUGGGGAGUACGCCGGCAACGGUGAAACUCAAAGGAGUUGACGGGGGCCCGCACAAGCGGAGGAACAUGUGGUUUAAUUCGAUGAUACGCGAGGAACCUUACCCGGGCUUAAAUUGCAACAGAAUAUAUUGGAAACAGUAUAGCCGUAAGGCUGUUGUGAAGGUGCUGCAUGGUUGUCGUCAGCUCGUGCCGUGAGGUGUCGGCUUAAGUGCCAUAACGAGCGCAACCCUUAUCUUUAGUUACUAACAGGUCAUGCUGAGGACUCUAGAGAGACUGCCGUCGUAAGAUGUGAGGAAGGUGGGGAUGACGUCAAAUCAGCACGGCCCUUACGUCCGGGGCUACACACGUGUUACAAUGGGGGGUACAGAAGGCGGCUACCUGGUGACAGGAUGCUAAUCCCAAAAACCUCUCUCAGUUCGGAUCGAAGUCUGCAACCCGACUUCGUGAAGCUGGAUUCGCUAGUAAUCGCGCAUCAGCCAUGGCGCGGUGAAUACGUUCCCGGGCCUUGUACACACCGCCCGUCAAGCCAUGAAAGCCGGGGGUACCUGAAGUACGUAACCGCAAGGAGCGUCCUAGGGUAAAACUGGUAAUUGGGGCUAAG
Molecule: ribosomal RNA, 1439 nt
Filed under: uncultured organism
Description: 16S ribosomal RNA
Rfam family: Bacterial small subunit ribosomal RNA
Source: RNAcentral